RNAcentral lists this ribosomal RNA (460 nucleotides) under uncultured bacterium. RNAcentral describes it as "partial 16S ribosomal RNA". It matches the Rfam family "Bacterial small subunit ribosomal RNA", at positions 338 to 795 of the family's 1533-position model. The record is from RNAcentral.
CCUACGGGCGGCAGCAGUGAGGAAUAUUGGUCAAUGGACGAGAGUCUGAACCAGCCAAGUAGCGUGAAGGAUGACUGCCCUAUGGGUUGUAAACAUCUUUUAUAAAGGAAUAAAACGAGGCACGUGUGCCUUUUUUCAUGUACUUUAUGAAUAAGGAUCGGCUAACUCCGUGCCAGCAGCCGCGGUAAUACGGAGGAGCCGAGAGUUAUCCGAAUUUAUUGGGUUUAAAGGGAGCGUAGAUGGGUUGUUAAGUCAGUUGUGAAAGUUUGCGGCUCAACCGUAAAACUGCAAUUGAUACUGGCAGUCUUGAGUACAGUUGAGGUAGGCGGAAUUCGUGGUGUAGCGGUGAAAUGCUUAGAGAUCACGAAGAACCCCGAUUGCGAAGGCAGCUUACUAAACUGUGACUGACAUUGAUGCGCGAAAGUGUGGGUAUCAAACAGGAUUAGAUACCCGGGUAGUC